AACAUAAUAGUUUAAGGAAAAUAUUUAGUUUGAAACUAAAAGAUGGGCACUAAGUUCUUGUGUUG
This 65-nucleotide transfer RNA is filed under the name Styela plicata. RNAcentral's name for it is "transfer RNA-Ser (UCN)". It matches the Rfam family "tRNA". From Rfam's summary of the family: Transfer RNA (tRNA) molecules are approximately 80 nucleotides in length. Their secondary structure includes four short double-helical elements and three loops (D, anti-codon, and T loops). Lineage: Eukaryota; Metazoa; Chordata; Ascidiacea; Stolidobranchia; Styelidae. The record is from RNAcentral.